Molecule: ribosomal RNA, 484 nt
Filed under: uncultured bacterium
Lineage: Bacteria
Description: partial 16S ribosomal RNA
Rfam family: Bacterial small subunit ribosomal RNA
Source: RNAcentral
AUUGAACGCUGGCGGCAGGCCUAACACAUGCAAGUCGAGCGGAUGAAGGGAGCUUGCUCCUGGAUUCAGCGGCGGACGGGUGAGUAAUGCCUAGGAAUCUGCCUGGUAGUGGGGGAUAACGUCCGGAAACGGGCGCUAAUACCGCAUACGUCCUGAGGGAGAAAGUGGGGGAUCUUCGGACCUCACGCUAUCAGAUGAGCCUAGGUCGGAUUAGCUAGUUGGUGGGGUAAAGGCCUACCAAAGCGACGAUCCGUAACUGGUCUGAGAGGAUGAUCAGUCACACUGGAACUGAGACACGGUCCAGACUCCUACGGGGGGCAGCAGUGGGGAAUAUUGGACAAUGGGCGAAAGCCUGAUCCAGCCAUGCCGCGUGUGUGAAGAAGGUCUUCGGAUUGUAAAGCACUUUAAGUUGGGAGGAAGGGCAGUAAGUUAAUACCUUGCUGUUUUGACGUUACCAACAGAAUAAGCACCGGCUAACUUCGUG